AUUGAACGCUGGCGGCAGGCCUAACACAUGCAAGUCGAACGGUAACAGGAAGAAGCUUGCUUCUUUGCUGACGAGUGGCGGACGGGUGAGUAAUGUCUGGGAAACUGCCUGAUGGAGGGGGAUAACUACUGGAAACGGUAGCUAAUACCGCAUAACGUCGCAAGACCAAAGAGGGGGACCUUCGGGCCUUUUGCCAUCGGAUGUGCCCAGAUGGGAUUAGCUAGUAGGUGGGGUAACGGCUCACCUAGGCGACGAUCCCUAGCUGGUCUGAGAGGAUGACCAGCCACACUGGAACUGAGACACGGUCCAGACUCCUACGGGAGGCAGCAGUGGGGAAUAUUGCACAAUGGGCGCAAGCCUGAUGCAGCCAUGCCGCGUGUAUGAAGAAGGCCUUCGGGUUGUAAAGUACUUUCAGCGGGGAGGAAGGGAGUAAAGUUAAUACCUUUGCUCACUGACGUUACCCGCAGAAGAAGCACCGGCUAACUCCGUG
RNAcentral lists this ribosomal RNA (490 nucleotides) under uncultured bacterium. Its description in RNAcentral is "partial 16S ribosomal RNA". It matches the Rfam family "Bacterial small subunit ribosomal RNA", at positions 30 to 507 of the family's 1533-position model. The record is from RNAcentral.